Molecule: non-coding RNA, 119 nt
Organism: Caenorhabditis elegans
Lineage: Eukaryota; Metazoa; Nematoda; Chromadorea; Rhabditida; Rhabditidae
Source: Ensembl
UUGUUGUUGUUGGUGCUGAAGCCUUCAACAACUCUCCCCGGUUGACGAUGGUGGUGUUGUCUGUUUAUGGAAGCUGCCGUUCGUUCACUUCAACAUGCCGGACCGACUAGUUUUAAUUU